AAUGAACGCUGGCGGCAUGCCUUACACAUGCAAGUCGAACGGCAGCAUGACCUAGCUUGCUAGGUUGAUGGCGAGUGGCGAACGGGUGAGUAAUGCAUCGGAACGUGCCUUUUAGUGGGGGAUAACGUAGCGAAAGUUACGCUAAUACCGCAUAUUCUCUGAGGAGGAAAGCAGGGGACCUUCGGGCCUUGCGCUAGAAGAGCGGCCGAUGUCGGAUUAGCUAGUUGGUGAGGUAAAGGCUCACCAAGGCAACGAUCCGUAGCGGGUCUGAGAGGAUGAUCCGCCACACUGGAACUGAGACAAGGCCCAGACUCCUACGGGAGGCAGCAGUGGGGAAUUUUGGACAAUGGGCGCAAGCCUGAUCCAGCCAUGCCGCGUGAGUGAAGAAGGCCUUCGGGUUGUAAAGCUCUUUCGGCUGGGAAGAAAUCGCACCCUCUAAUACAGGGUGUGGAUGACGGUACCAGCAGAAGAAGCACCGGCUAACUACGUG
RNAcentral lists this ribosomal RNA (490 nucleotides) under uncultured bacterium. RNAcentral describes it as "partial 16S ribosomal RNA". It matches the Rfam family "Bacterial small subunit ribosomal RNA", at positions 29 to 507 of the family's 1533-position model. The record is from RNAcentral.